RNAcentral lists this ribosomal RNA (400 nucleotides) under uncultured bacterium. RNAcentral's name for it is "bacterial SSU rRNA". It matches the Rfam family "Bacterial small subunit ribosomal RNA", at positions 356 to 773 of the family's 1533-position model. The record is from RNAcentral.
GGGGAAUCUUGGACAAUGGGCGCAAGCCUGAUCCAGCCAUGCCGCGUGGAUGAUGAAGGCCCUAGGGUUGUAAAAUCCUUUCGUCAGGGACGAUAAUGACGGUACCUGAAGAAGAAGCCCCGGCUAACUUCGUGCCAGCAGCCGCGGUAAUACGAAGGGGGCUAGCGUUGUUCGGAAUUACUGGGCGUAAAGCGCAUGUAGGCGGGUCGUUAAGUCGGGGGUGAAAGCCCAGAGCUCAACUCUGGAACUGCCUUCGAUACUGGCGACCUGGACCCAAGGAGAGGCGAGUGGAAUUGCGAGUGUAGAGGUGAAAUUCGUAGAUAUUCGCAGGAACACCAGUGGCGAAGGCGACUCGCUGGACUUGUGGUGACGCUGAGAUGCGAAAGCGUGGGGAGCAAAC